AACGCGAAGAACCUUACCUGGCCUUGACAUGUCGAGAACUUACCAGAGAUGGUUUGGUGCUCGAAAGAGAACCUGCACACAGGUGCUGCAUGGCUGUCGUCAGCUCGUGUCGUGAGAUGUUGGGUUAAGUCCCGCAACGAGCGCAACCCUUGAUCUUAGUUGCCAGCGGUUCGGCCGGGAACUCAAAGGAGACUGCCAGUGACAAACCGGAGGAAGGUGGGGAUGACGUCAAAUCAUCAUGCCCCUUAUGACCUGGGCUACACACGUGCUACAAUGGAUGGUACAAAGGGCUGCAAGACCGCGAGGUUUAGCCAAUCCCAUAAAACCAUUCUCAGUUCGGAUUGUAGGCUGCAACUCGCCUACAUGAAGCCGGAAUCGCUAGUAGUCGCGAAUCAGAAUGCCGCGGUGAAUACGUUCCCGGGCCUUGUACA
This 431-nucleotide ribosomal RNA is filed under the name uncultured bacterium. Its description in RNAcentral is "bacterial SSU rRNA". It matches the Rfam family "Bacterial small subunit ribosomal RNA", at positions 958 to 1387 of the family's 1533-position model. The record is from RNAcentral.